RNAcentral lists this ribosomal RNA (497 nucleotides) under uncultured bacterium. Its description in RNAcentral is "partial 16S ribosomal RNA". It matches the Rfam family "Bacterial small subunit ribosomal RNA", at positions 28 to 507 of the family's 1533-position model. The record is from RNAcentral.
GACGAACGCUGGCGGCGUGCCUAGUACAUGCAAGUUGAGCGCUGAAGGUUGGUACUUGUACCAACUGGAUGAGCAGCGAACGGGUGAGUAACGCGUGGGGAAUCUGCCUUUGAGCGGGGGACAACAUCUGGAAACGAAUGCUAAUACCGCAUAAAAACUUUAAACACAAGUUUUAAGUUUGAAAGAUGCAAUUGCAUCACUCAAAGAUGAUCCCGCGUUGUAUUAGCUAGUUGGUGAGGUAAAGGCUCACCAAGGCGAUGAUACAUAGCCGACCUGAAAGGGGUGUCGGCCACAAUGGGACCGGGACAACGCCCAAACUCCUACGGGAGGCAGCAGUAAGGGAUCUUCGGCCAUGGACGAAAGUCUGACCGAGCAACGCCGCGUGAGUGAAGAAGGUUUUCGGAUCGUAAAACUCUGUUGGUAGAGAAGAACGUUGGUGAGAGUGGAAAGCUCAUCAAGUGACGGUAACUACCCAGAAAGGGACGGCUAACUACGUG